CAGACAACCAGGAUGUUGGCUUAGAAGCAGCCAUUCAUUUAAAGAGUGCGUAAUAGCUCACUGGUCGAGUGAAGUUGCGCGGAAAAUUACCGGGGCUAAGUUAUACACCGAAAUUGCGGAUUCAUUAAGAAAUUAAUGAGUGGUAGAGGAGCGUUCUAUACAGGAUGAAGUAUGAUCGAGAGGACAUAUGGACAGUAUAGAAGAGAGAAUGCCGGAAUGAGUAGCGAGAGCAAAGUGAGAAUCUUUGCCGUCGAAAAUCUAAGGUUUCCUGGGGAAGGUUCGUCCGCCCAGGGUAAGUCGGGACCUAAGGUGAGGCCGAAGGGCGUAGCCGAUGGACAGCAGGUUAAGAUUCCUGCACCAGUAUACAUGUAUAAUGCAUAAGAGGACACAUUUGAAGAAGAUGAGCGAGGAAGAGGAAAAACUCGUAUGGCAACAUAUAGUGAAAUAAAGUAACGAAUCAUCAAGAGGCGAGUGGCGAGAAAAGUCUUAUGUAGUUGUGUAGACUGCCCGUACCGCAAACCGACACAGGUAGAUGAGGAGAGGAUCCUAAGACGAGCGGGAGAAGCAUUGUUAAGGAACUCGGCAAAUUGACCCCGUAACUUAGGGAUAAGGGGUGCUGGUGUAAAAACCAGUCGCAGUAAAUAGGCCCAAGCAACUGUUUAACAAAAACACAGGUUUCUGCUAAAUCGCAAGAUGAAGUAUAGGAGCUGACUCCUGCCCAGUGCUGGAAGGUUAAGGGGAAAGGUUAGGAAUAAUUCAUUAUAUCCGAAGCUUUGAACUCAAGCCCCAGUGAACGGCGGCCGUAACUAUAACGGUCCUAAGGUAGCGAAAUUCCUUGUCAGGUAAGUUCUGACCCGCACGAAAGGAGUAAUGAUUUGGGCACUGUCUCAACAAUGUACCCGGCGAAAUUGUAGUACUAGUGAAGAUGCUAGUUACCUGCGACAAGACGGAAAGACCCCAUGGAGCUUUACUAUAGCCUGAUAUUGGGCUUUGGUAUCUUAUGUACAGGAUAGGUGGGAGACUAUGAGAUUAAGACGCUAGUCUUAAAGGAGUCAACCUUGGAAUACCACCCUUAAGAUAUUAGAGUUCUAACUUGUGAUCAUAAGCUGGUCAGAGGACAUUGUCAGGUGGGUAGUUUGACUGGGGCGGUCACCUCCUAAAGAGUAACGGAGGUGCGCAAAGGUUUCCUCGGCACGGUCAGAAAUCGUGCUAUUGAGUGUAAAGGCAUAAGGAAGCUUAACUGAGAGAGAGACAUCUCGAGCAGAUACGAAAGUAGGUCUUAGUGAUCCGGUGGUAGAAAAUGGAAUUGCCAUCGCUCAACGGAUAAAAGUUACCCUGGGGAUAACAGGCUUAUCUCCCCCAAGAGUUCACAUCGACGGGGAGGUUUGGCACCUCGAUGUCGGCUCAUCGCAUCCUGGGGCUGUAGUCGGUCCCAAGGGUUGGGCUGUUCGCCCAUUAAAGCGGUACGCGAGCUGGGUUCAGAACGUCGUGAGACAGUUCGGUCCCUAUCUGUCGCAGGCGCAGGAUAUUUGAAAGGAGCUGUCCUUAGUACGAGAGGACCAGGAUGGACAUACCAAUGGUGCAACAGUUGUCACACCAGUGGCACAGCUGUGUAGCUAAGUAUGGAAGGGAUAAACGCUGAAAGCAUCUAAGCGUGAAGCCCCCCUUAAGAUAAGAUAUCCCACAACGUCAAGUUGGUAAGAUUCCAGUAAGACUAACUGGUUGAUAGGUUAGAGGUGUAAGUGUGGUGACACAUUUAGCUGACUAAUACUAAUAAUCGAGGGCUUAACCAA
RNAcentral lists this ribosomal RNA (1793 nucleotides) under human oral metagenome. RNAcentral describes it as "bacterial LSU rRNA". It matches the Rfam family "Bacterial large subunit ribosomal RNA", at positions 1086 to 2925 of the family's 2925-position model. The record is from RNAcentral.